This 232-nucleotide long non-coding RNA is filed under the name Lotus japonicus. Its description in RNAcentral is "long non-coding RNA (LJAP_LNC001801)". Lineage: Eukaryota; Viridiplantae; Streptophyta; Magnoliopsida; Fabales; Fabaceae. The record is from RNAcentral.
CGACAAACUCCCUGUGAUCCUCAUGGAAGAGAACCACACAACAAGCUAAUAGUCGGGGACCUACCCUGCCCCAAAAUAAGAAAUGACAAUCAGAGCUAUGACAACGACACCCGAUAUACUACACCCCUAACAUCGACCCUCAUCCGAUCCUGCAUGAAGUCCGGGUCCACGUCGAAGGCUCAGUAGUAGUCAUUUCGCUCCGGGUCCUCCCCGAACGACGAACCAUCACGAA